GUGCCAGCAGCCGCGGUAAGACAGAGGUGGCAAGCGUUGUUCGGAAUCAUUGGGCUUAAAGGGCGCGUAGGCGGCCCUGUAAGUGUCUCGUGAAAUCCCUCGGCUCAACCGAGGAAUCGCCGGGCAUACUGCAGGGCUUGAGGUAGGAAUGGGCGAGUGGAACUCUUGGUGGAGCGGUGGAAUGCGUAGAUAUCAAGAGGAACGCCGGUGGUGAAGACGACUCGCUGGGCCUAUCCUGACGCUGAGGCGCGAAAGCCAGGGGAGCAAACGGGAUUAGAAACCCCUGUAGUCC
Molecule: ribosomal RNA, 292 nt
Filed under: uncultured bacterium
Lineage: Bacteria
Description: partial 16S ribosomal RNA
Rfam family: Bacterial small subunit ribosomal RNA
Source: RNAcentral